RNAcentral lists this ribosomal RNA (497 nucleotides) under uncultured bacterium. RNAcentral's name for it is "partial 16S ribosomal RNA". It matches the Rfam family "Bacterial small subunit ribosomal RNA", at positions 28 to 507 of the family's 1533-position model. The record is from RNAcentral.
GACGAACGCUGGCGGCGUGCCUAAUACAUGCAAGUUGAGCGCUGAAGGUUGGUACUUGUACCGACUGGAUGAGCAGCGAACGGGUGAGUAACGCGUGGGGAAUCUGCCUUUGAGCGGGGGACAACAUUUGGAAACGAAUGCUAAUACCGCAUAAAAACUUUAAACACAAGUUUUAAGUUUGAAAGAUGCAAUUGCAUCACUCAAAGAUGAUCCCGCGUUGUAUUAGCUAGUUGGUGAGGUAAAGGCUCACCAAGGCGAUGAUACAUAGCCGACCUGAGAGGGUGAUCGGCCACAUUGGGACUACGACACGGCCCAAACUCCUACGGGAGGCAGCAGUAGGGAAUCUUCGGCAAUGGACGAAAGUCUGACCGAGCAACGCCGCGUGAGUGAAGAAGGUUUUCGGAUCGUAAAACUCUGUUGGUAGAGAAGAACGUUGGUGAGAGUGGAAAGCUCAUCAAGUGACGGUAACUACCCAGAAAGGGACGGCUAACUACGUG